AGUGAACGCUGACGGUAGGCCUAACACAUGCAAGUCGAACGGCAGCACAGUAAGAGCUUGCUCUUACGGGUGGCGAGUGGCGGACGGGUGAGGAAUACAUCGGAAUCUACUUUUUCGGGGGGGAUAACGCAGGGAAACUUACGCUAAUACCGCAUAAGACCUACGGGUGAAAGCAGGGGAUCUUCGGACCUUGCGCGAUUGUAUGAGCCGAUGUCGGAUUAGCUAGUUGGCGGGGUAAAGGCCCACCAAGGCGACGAUCCGUAGCUGGUCUGAGAGGAUGAUCAGCCACACUGGAACUGAGACACGGUCCAGACUCCUACGGGAGGCAGCAGUGGGGGAUAUUGGACAAUGGGCGCGAGCCUGAUCCAGCCAUACCGCGUGGGUGAAGAAGACCUUCGGGUUGUAAAGCCCUUUUUUUGGGAAAGAAAAGCAGCAGGUUGAUACCCCGCUGUUCUGACGGUACCCAAAUAAUAAGCACCGGCUAACUUCGUG
RNAcentral lists this ribosomal RNA (492 nucleotides) under uncultured bacterium. RNAcentral describes it as "partial 16S ribosomal RNA". It matches the Rfam family "Bacterial small subunit ribosomal RNA", at positions 29 to 507 of the family's 1533-position model. The record is from RNAcentral.